AUUACAUCAUUGCAUUCUGGAUAUUAAUAGUUAUUACGGCAUUUAAUGUUGUGUUUUCUACGGAAAUGUAAUACGGCUUGAUAUAACUUCUAUACUGAUAUAUAGUUUGUCGUAAACACGCAUUGUCUAUGUCCUGGCGAAUGGUGGCGCUAUAAUAUUUAGUGCAGGGUUAAGCGAUACGUCAUUCUGUUCCAUGUUCCGCUUCCGCCAUUAGUUGUUUUUUUAUAUUGUUGAGCAGUUGUCAUAGUUAUCAUGAAUUCAAAGCGCACAUUUGUGUCUGCAUUUUGAGAUGAGAUUACACGUUUAGCUGAUGUUAUAUAGCUGGGGGUAGCAAGCUGUGUUGGUGCUAAACAUGAUUUAUGUAAGCGAUCGAAUUUUGGACAGAAUAUAUUCUCUGAUUCUCCUGGCAGUCGUACUUCUAUCCUGGGGAUAUGUGAUCUACGGAACAAGGAUUGCAGCGCAAUGGCAACUGGAUAAAAAACUGAAGAUGCAAAACUGAAAGCUCAGUUCAACAAGGGACAACAUUCAGGAACACUUUUGGACAUUCAGGAACACUUUUGGAAUUUCUACAGCAAGAUUAAUGGACAGCUGUAAUGGAAAGAUUUGGACCACAAAUUGGCGUGGACUCGGAGGACGUUCCACAAUGUGUCUGGCCGUCACAGAACAACCAUUGCCUGAUCUGGUCAUCAACCCAGUUGUGUGUGAUGUCUUUUUGGUUUCUUUCUUUUUACGAGAAUGACUUUUAAAUCCUAAAUAUUGAGUAGCAUCUGAAUGCCAUGAACAUUUUGGCUCCCAGUAUUUCCCCAGCAGAUUGGUAAAAUAUAUUUUCUUAAUGUAAACAUUAAAAUAACAUUUCUUGGAAAAAUCAA
Conger conger (European conger) is the source of this 869-nucleotide long non-coding RNA. RefSeq lists it as uncharacterized. Lineage: Eukaryota; Metazoa; Chordata; Actinopteri; Anguilliformes; Congridae. The transcript has 2 exons. The record is from RefSeq and is a predicted model, not a curated record.